This 1342-nucleotide ribosomal RNA is filed under the name uncultured bacterium. RNAcentral's name for it is "bacterial SSU rRNA". It matches the Rfam family "Bacterial small subunit ribosomal RNA", at positions 28 to 1381 of the family's 1533-position model. The record is from RNAcentral.
GAUGAACGCUGGCGGCGUGCUUAACACAUGCAAGUCGAACGGUGAAGCCAAGCUUGCUUGGUGGAUCAGUGGCGAACGGGUGAGUAACACGUGAGCAACCUGCCUUGGACUCUGGGAUAAGCGCUGGAAACGGCGUCUAAUACUGGAUAUGAGCUCUCAUCGCAUGGUGGGGGUUGGAAAGAUUUUUCGGUCUGGGAUGGGCUCGCGGCCUAUCAGCUUGUUGGUGAGGUAAUGGCUCACCAAGGCGUCGACGGGUAGCCGGCCUGAGAGGGUGACCGGCCACACUGGGACUGAGACACGGCCCAGACUCCUACGGGAGGCAGCAGUGGGGAAUAUUGCACAAUGGGCGGAAGCCUGAUGCAGCAACGCCGCGUGAGGGAUGACGGCCUUCGGGUUGUAAACCUCUUUUAGCAGGGAAGAAGCGAGAGUGACGGUACCUGCAGAAAAAGCGCCGGCUAACUACGUGCCAGCAGCCGCGGUAAUACGUAGGGCGCAAGCGUUAUCCGGAAUUAUUGGGCGUAAAGAGCUCGUAGGCGGUUUGUCGCGUCUGCUGUGAAAUCCCGAGGCUCAACCUCGGGCCUGCAGUGGGUACGGGCAGACUAGAGUGCGGUAGGGGAGAUUGGAAUUCCUGGUGUAGCGGUGGAAUGCGCAGAUAUCAGGAGGAACACCGAUGGCGAAGGCAGAUCUCUGGGCCAUAACUGACGCUGAGGAGCGAAAGGGUGGGGAGCAAACAGGCUUAGAUACCCUGGUAGUCCACCCCGUAAACGUUGGGAACUAGUUGUGGGGACCAUUCCACGGUUUCCGUGACGCAGCUAACGCAUUAAGUUCCCCGCCUGGGGAGUACGGCCGCAAGGCUAAAACUCAAAGGAAUUGACGGGGACCCGCACAAGCGGCGGAGCAUGCGGAUUAAUUCGAUGCAACGCGAAGAACCUUACCAAGGCUUGACAUACACCAGAACACCGUAGAAAUACGGGACUCUUUGGACACUGGUGAACAGGUGGUGCAUGGUUGUCGUCAGCUCGUGUCGUGAGAUGUUGGGUUAAGUCCCGCAACGAGCGCAACCCUCGUUCUAUGUUGCCAGCACGUAAUGGUGGGAACUCAUGGGAUACUGCCGGGGUCAACUCGGAGGAAGGUGGGGAUGACGUCAAAUCAUCAUGCCCCUUAUGUCUUGGGCUUCACGCAUGCUACAAUGGCCGGUACAAAGGGCUGCAAUACCGUGAGGUGGAGCGAAUCCCAAAAAGCCGGUCCCAGUUCGGAUUGAGGUCUGCAACUCGACCUCAUGAAGUCGGAGUCGCUAGUAAUCGCAGAUCAGCAACGCUGCGGUGAAUACGUUCCCGGGUCU